RNAcentral lists this unclassified non-coding RNA (240 nucleotides) under uncultured Schizophyllum. Its description in RNAcentral is "sequence contains ITS2". Lineage: Eukaryota; Fungi; Basidiomycota; Agaricomycetes; Agaricales; Schizophyllaceae. The record is from RNAcentral.
AAUACCAUCAACCCUCUUUUGACUUUGGUCUCGAGAGUGGCUUGGAAGUGGAGGUCUUGCUGGAGCCUAACGGAGCCAGCUCCUCUUAAAUGCAUUAGCGGAUUUCCCUUGCGGGAUCGCGUCUCCGAUGUGACAAUUUCUACGUCGUUGACCAUCUCGGGGCUGACCUAGUCAGUUUCAAUAGGAGUCUGCUUCUAACCGUCUCUUGACUGAGACUAGCGACUUGUGCGCUAACUUUUG